RNAcentral lists this long non-coding RNA (244 nucleotides) under Elaeis guineensis (African oil palm). RNAcentral's name for it is "long non-coding RNA (EGUI_LNC007252)". The record is from RNAcentral. Lineage: Eukaryota; Viridiplantae; Streptophyta; Magnoliopsida; Arecales; Arecaceae.
AAUACUAUCGAGACUCGAAUAAAUACUGUUUUUACCAUCGUGAGUAUGGUCACGAUACUAAAGACUGCCACUAGCUUCGCGAUAAGAUCAAGAGGCUUGUUAGGCAGGGGUGGUUAGAUCAUUUUGUCUGGAGAACGGCCCCUCAAUGUCGAGCUCCAAGAGCUUCGCAGCCACCCCCUUUGCCUCAGCAGCCUCUCCCUCUGCCUCAGCCACAGCAAGCACCAACACGGCAGGUCAGAGGACA